GACGAACGCUGGCGGCGUGCUUAACACAUGCAAGUCGUACGGUAAGGCCCUUUCGGGGGUACACGAGUGGCGAACGGGUGCGUAACACGUGCGUAACCUGCCCACAACUUUGGGAUAACGCUAGGAAACUGGUGCUAAUACUGGUACUGUGCUACUGCUGCAUGGUGGGGGUUGGAAAGUUCCGGCGGUUUUGGAUGGACUCGCGGGCUAUCAGCUUGUUGGUGGGGUAGUGGCCUACCAAGGCGGCGUAGGGUAGCCGGACUGUGAGGGUGACCGGCCACAUUGGCACUGAGGGACGGCCCAGACAGCGACGGGAGGCAGCAGGGGGGAAUAUUGAACAAUGGGCGCAAGCCUGGUGCAGCAGCGCCGCGGGCGGGAUGACGGCCUUCGGGUUGAAAACCGCUUUCAGCAGGGACGAAGCUUUUUGUGACGGUACCUGCAGAAGAAGCACCGGCUAACUACGUG
This 465-nucleotide ribosomal RNA is filed under the name uncultured bacterium. RNAcentral's name for it is "partial 16S ribosomal RNA". It matches the Rfam family "Bacterial small subunit ribosomal RNA", at positions 28 to 507 of the family's 1533-position model. The record is from RNAcentral.